This 3457-nucleotide long non-coding RNA is filed under the name Equus asinus (donkey). RNAcentral's name for it is "lncRNA (ENSEASG00005032461.1)". The record is from RNAcentral. Lineage: Eukaryota; Metazoa; Chordata; Mammalia; Perissodactyla; Equidae.
GACAUAUUUUAGAUAUCCCUUAGUUCUUUUAAUUUAACUAAGGAUGUCAGAUAAAGGAAUUUAAAAAGCAGCCAAAAUAAAUGAGGUGUAAAGGUCUAUAACAUACUAAGGGAAACAGAGUUUCAGCUAUGAGAGAAAAAGAGCAUUGUACUUCCCAGGGAGUGAGAUCUUGGCCAUGGCUGGAGGUCAGUUUAUGGCAGAAAUACCUGGUUGAUUUAGGAGGCUGAAGAGUUGUUUGUAAUUUAACAAGUUGUGCAUUUAUUGACAUGUAAAGAUAGCAUAAUUUUAUUUUAGUUAAAGCACAAAAAAAAUACCAAAUAAUACCAAAUUACAGCAAAAGCUGUAAUAAAUGUAAUAAGAUCUCCCUUUGGUUUGUUAGCAACCUUGUUACACCUGAAAAGUUGGUUUUGAAAAACUUUCACUUUAGAAGAUUUCUUUUAUCUGUAUGUGUAUAUGUUUAUAUUUUGUACAUAUACAUACCCAUUCAUGUUCCAUGACCCUGUAACAUUUGUGUUCUAUUCUUUUAAGUGAUAUGAUUUGGCCUCAAUGAAGAAACAUUUCAUUUAGUUCAAACUUUGCAUUCAGGGUCCUAGAACAGAUUUCCUGUGCAAGAUUUGGUUGAAAUGGAAUAAGUUUAGCAAACCUAAGUCAUAUUUUCUAAGAGAUUUUUGAUAUUCAUUUGCAUUAUUUAUUGGCAUAUAAUUUAAACUACUCUUCAGUUAUACAACAGCUGUUACAAAUAUAUCCCAGCAAUAUUCAUACUUUAUCCUUCAGCAGCCUUUUGUUUUAUACUUCCUAACUUAGAUUAAAAAAAAAGUCCUUCCAUCUAUGGAAAAGCUAGUUAGGGAGGAAAUACUUGUUUUCUAUAAUAAAACAAUUUGAUUGGUGCCAUCUUUGCCAGGUUGGAUUAAGAAAUACAAAGACAUAUCUGAAGGUUUGGGGAACUCUUCUCUAUGUCAUUAAUUUGAAAUCAUGUUACUAAAAAGCAAACUAAAAUGUAAAGUGAAAAGCUAACUUAGAAGUAAGAUUUUUAAAUAGAAAAAAUAUUUUGAGAAGCUAGGGGGAAAAUUGUUGUACUUUGAAAUCCUGACCUUUACCUCUACUCUCACCCUCCCGAUUACUCCUCUGUGCCUAUUUAAUAUAGAGUCAGGACUUUUGUGCUAGAAGAGACCCUAGAGAUAAUCUAGCUAGUCUCCCAACACCCACUCCCCCAUAUCCAUCCUCAGGAAACUGAGGCUCAAAAAGGUUGUAAAGUGAUCAAGGUCACGUAACUAAGAAGCAGAGCCAGAAUCAAACUCCUGUCUCCUUUCAAAUGCAUAUUAACACCCCACUGCCUCCCUUUACUUCUACUGUGGUAGGUGUGGUAUGUAACACACUCCAUUUAUGCAGUUUCUUUAUAGUUCUGCUCUAGUAGUUGGUGAAUACUGCACAUUAAGAGAAGCAUUAAAUCCAGAAAAAAUAUAGAGUAAUAAACAUGGAUGGGGAAGUGUUGGAAAUGUAGGUAUCUAUACCACAGAUGUAAGGAUAGAUAUAUUUUUCCUAUUCUAAUUUAUGCCUUACUAUUUUCUGCCACAUAACAGUUGGAUGCUGCCAUUUUAUAACUGAUUAUAUUCUGGGGAUUUAUUUAGAUGCAAAAAUAAAUCCAAUGUAAUGGCUUUGAUCAGUGUUUCUAGCUAUUUUAAAGUAAUUUUUGAAUCAGCCAACUUUCACAGUCACCUAGGUGGCAAGUUAAUUGUGUUGCACAAUGGAGUAUCACAAAGUAGAUUAAGUAAAUUUGAUUUCAUUAAUUUCUAAUGUCGAAAGAGAUUGAACCUUACUUGUGCUUAGAGCAGAUAGAUAAAAGCAAUAUUUCCUGAUGUGACUGAAAAAGGUUCAUAGUGUGAAACUUAUGAUUCCAUAAUGGAAUGGUGACCAUGAUGUCAUUGAAAGUGUAUAUACCAUAUAAAAUGUCUUAAACCCGGUAGUCUCAGCUAUGUAAGCUCAAUAUUUCCCACCUGUAUUCUCAAAUUCCACUUAGUAGCUUUAAAUUAAUUAUAAUUAUUUAUUAGACACUGGAAUACUGAGAAUAACUUCUUUCAGACUGUUUUGUUUGCACUAUUUUUGUGACUAUUUUAAUGAAGUGGGAUGUUUUUCCUACCUCACUUUGUGAGGUUUGUAUGGGUCCAUUUUUGAGUACUUUAGUUGUUGACAAUCAGUUGUCUCAGUUAAUUUUCUGCAUGUUCAUUUGUAAAUAAAAUAAUUAGUAUCUGUUUUUAGGGGAUAGUAGACUAUACAAACACUGGCAAGGAGGCUGUAUUUCUGAUCUUGGAUUACAAAAAAAACAUGAUUGGGUUAAGAAAAGCUGAAAUACUCAUUUUUUUUAAUGUAUAGACCAAUAAGAACUAAAGGAUUUACAUAAACUAUUAAAUAAUGAUUUUUUUUUGAAAACUUUAAAUGUAAUUGUAUGUUAACUGAUGUUCCAAACAGGUUCUAUGUAUUAUUUUUUUUGUAUCAGGUGGUAGUUAAAAAUUAGUGAAUGUCUUGGUCAGGUAUCUUGGAAAGAGAACAUUGGCUUUCUAACAAUUACUAAUGUAGAUUUUUGGGCUUUUUAAAGUUUUAUCAUCCCCACUGAUUUGAGAGAGAUGCUCAGUGCUCCGUAUGUUCUUUUAAAAUAUUUGUAAUAAGUUCAUCAACUGCUUAACAGUAAGUCUUUCUGAUUCUUAUUCUAAAAAUUUCUGUGGGCUUUAAUUCAGUUUAACUGGUUAAGUGAAACAGUUUUUAUGGUGCAAAGAUUAUUUUCCCACUAUUUUUCUCAUAAUAAUUUGGCUCUUCUGAGCUACAGUUUCUGAAGAGUUUUUACUACUUUAGCAUUAUAUAGUCUGAUCUCUAUCACAAUCGACAAGUAAACAGAAAAUAUCCCACUUUCCUGUGUUUGCUUCAUAAAAGGAUAUGGAAUGUAUAGAUCAGCUCUUUUUUUUUUUUUCUUAUCAGCAUCAACCUAUAACUUGGUAUAAACUUCUCAAGUAUUCAGAGAAGAGUGGUGGUAAAAAUUUAAAUAAGAUAGGCAUGAAGAAAAUAUGAUCGCUUUUGAUUGUGUCCUUUCAACCUAGGACUAGUGAAGACUUUCACUUUUUCAGAGCUGAAGAAAAAUACGCACAUUUAAGAUCAUAUUUAUUGGUGCAUGUAAGCCAUUAUCUUAAUUGUCUUACAGAACUGGUUAAUGCUGUUGAUUGUUGAAAUGUGAAAUGUAGUCACUGUUGACCUUGUAAAUAUCUGCCAGAGAUGAAAAAAUAUUUUAAGUUAUUGUAAAUAAAGAUGUAUAAAUUCAUUAUAAGUCUGCAAUGCAGAAACAUAUCUAAGAUGUUAAAUAUUGUGUUUCUUGAGAGAUGUGUAAUUUUUCCCUAGAUGUAUCUAGUUACAUUAAGAAUGUAAAUUUUCUUUUGUACAGUAUAAAAAUACAGCUUUAUUUGGCUUUUGA